RNAcentral lists this long non-coding RNA (333 nucleotides) under Phascolarctos cinereus (koala). Its description in RNAcentral is "lncRNA (ENSPCIG00000032973.1)". The record is from RNAcentral. Lineage: Eukaryota; Metazoa; Chordata; Mammalia; Diprotodontia; Phascolarctidae.
UUCCUUGUAAUGGUGUUCAAAUAUAUUAUUUUUAUUGAUUACAUUUCCUUUUCCCCCCCACCCAGGGUGAAGAGGGACAAAAGGGAGAUCCAGGACUGGAUGGCAUUCAUGGAAAAGAUGGUUUGAAAGGUGACUUGGGUCCUCCAGGUCCACGUGGCCAGAAAGGAGAAAAGGGAGAAAUGGGACCUCCAGGACCACCAACCUUAAUCGGUUCCUUAGGACUAGAAGGUCCCCAAGGUCCACCUGGGAAAGAAGGUCAAAGGGUAAGUAAACUUUGAACAACUGGCAGGCAUUAACUAAGCCCAGUCAUUUUGUGUCUCUGAACACCAAUAA